AUGCCGAAGAAAAAAGGGAAAAAAGGAAAAAAAAAAAAACAAGAAAAAGAGGACAAAGAUGACAUCGCGGAAGUUGAUAAGGAAUUUUAUGAAAUUCAGAUUUCAGACCUUACAAAGAAGCUCACAAGAUUACGCUCACAUGCUGGUGAAUUGGAAAAAGAAAAUGAGAAUGUCCGGGCAGAGAUGCAUGGGCUGGAUGAAGACAGAGCUGAUGUUAUAGCAUUCUUGAAACGGACCUUGCAAAAGAAAGUAGAUGAGAAUGCUGAGCUGAUGAAUAGAAUUCUAGCACUUGAGCAGGUACCUAAGUUUUGCCGAGGAGAAGGAGAGUACAAAAGUAUAUUUUGCAUGGUUUCUCCACUGCAAAAAGUACCCAGAAAAAUUUGUUUGAAGCUUUAAACAUUUUCCAAAGAGCCUUCUUUUUGAAGAAAUCCCAAAAUAAUUUUGUUGUGAAGUAACUAUGUUUUAUUUUGAACAGUUUUAUGUAGAGGAGUGACUGUACCUCCAGGUAACUACUAUUUUUAGAUGCGCAUAAUUGCUUUAAAUCUGAGAGUACUGGUGCUCAAAAUGAUCGACAUCCUUUCAAAAAUCAUACACCCCAUAUGAUUAUGGAGGAGGUUUCCAAAAUUUGUACGUUCAGUUGAGAGGUGUGAUAUGCUAGGUAGGUAUUCAUCUGCAAAGCAAACCCCUCCCAAAAAAAAUCUUUUUGUACCUCAGUUCAGGAGAUAUUCUCCUCCAAAAUAUUUUGAAUUUUUAUUCAUGAAUUUAUUUCAAUACUACUCAUUUGGUUUUUUUCUGGGAAAAACUGUUGUAGGCCAGAGAGGCAGAGCAAACUGAGUUCCAACAAACUAUCACACAGAAAGACAAAGAAUUCAAAGAAAUGUACGAGCAGCUGAAUGCAGAGAUCAAACUUUUAAGUAAGAUUUAAAAACUAUCUGAUCCAUAUUUUAGGGUUAAAAUCCUUGUUUUUUUUUUUUUUUUUUUUUUUUUUUUUUUUUUUUUCAUAAAGAUUCGCUCAAAGCUAUAAAAAUUCUACUCUCAAAUAUCAAGUAAAAAGUUGGAUUCUCUCUUUCUUUUUUGACAAAAGCUGUACGUACUUACAGCCUAUAAAUAUUAAUUCUAUACGCUCUUUCGUUUAAAAAUUGAUGCCUGACUGACUCUAAAUGUGAAUGUCAUUAAAUGGUGAAGAAUUGUUAGUGAGUUUUCAGCUGCUAAGGGUAUUGAUGGAUGUAAAAUAUCGGUGGUUAUGAACUCAAAAACUAGUAUCUCAAUGGCAGUGUUUCUAAAUUGUCCCUCCUUUUUUUGUAACAUUUUAAGAGGAACCAACUUGGUCGCUUGACAUUCUUAUAGAAUAGGUACUCUUCAGCCAAGGAAGAAAGAUUUUACAAAAUUUUAAAAAAAUUUGUUGAUUACAGUUUUUCUGUUUAAGUAAAAAAAGGCAUCAAUGGAGGUCUGCAAAAACGCAACGUCAGCUGCUUUCUGAGUUCAGUUUUCAAAAUGCAACGUUUUUUCAAUAAAAAAAAGAGCUUCUGAAAAAUACUUAGCACAGGUUUAGUUGAUAAAUCUAUUAAAUAUGUUAUUAUACUUUUUCCUUUCAGAUGGGAAACUGAGUUCGUUAGAGGAGUUCAGAAUUCAAAAAGAAGAUCUGAUGAAUAAAUUUGCUUGUCAAGAAAAAAUGUUUGAAGAUCAAGAGAUCAGACACAAGAAGGAACUUUAUGACAUAGAGAGAAAAUUUAUUGUGAGCAAGGAUCAGUAAGUGAUAAUUUCCAGAGCUAUUAAUUAAUCGUCCUCCAGACAAAAAUUUAGAAACUGGUUAGAUAAGUUGUUCCUACUUAAGGAGGCAAAUCUUAAGAAAUUAAGAGGUGUUACCUAUUGGUAUCAGAAAUGUGUGAGAAUGGAAAUUAGAAUCUUGUUUUUGAUAUUUAUAAUG
Molecule: long non-coding RNA, 1927 nt
Filed under: Bemisia tabaci
Lineage: Eukaryota; Metazoa; Arthropoda; Insecta; Hemiptera; Aleyrodidae
Description: lncRNA ENSSSA1UGG001643
Source: RNAcentral